GGUAAAUUUGAACGUUACCACAUGUCGACGCGACGCAGACGCCAUCUUGCUUUUCACACACAUCAGCUCGUCCUAAAUACACGAAAAAAAAGACCCAUAUUUUUGCGCCAGGCGUGUAGUUCGUCGUUUCGUUACCUCGGCUAAGGUAACAAGAUGCCUGAAAACAGCACAAAACCUCGUUCUCGGAAUUCUGAUUCGUUCUCCAAGGAGCGUGGCGAUUCUCGCGGCGAUAGAGGUGGUGGAAGAAACUACACCAGAAACAACGGCGCCGGGUAUAGCUCGAUGAAAGAGAGAAAGUUUACUGGGAGAUGCCGUCUCUUUGUUGGGAAUCUUAUUGACUGUGAUGAAGAAGAAAUGAAGGAAAUGUUCAAGAAGUACGGAGAAGUUGCUGAAGUCUUCAUCAACAAGGAGAAAGGGUUCGGAUUUAUUCGAUUGGACACAAGACUUCAUGCAGAAGCUGCCAAAGCGGGCCUGGACAUGGCCACUCGCAAGGGCCGUACACUGAGAGUUCGCUUUGCUACACAUGCUGCAGCACUUAGGGUGAAAAACCUGGAUAAUUUAGUGACAAAUGAGCUGUUGGAGCAGGCAUUCUCUCAGUUUGGAGAUGUGGAGAGGGCUGUUGUUGUCUGCGAUGUUCGAGGACGCUCAAAGGGGCAUGGAAUUGUUGAGUUCUCAAGGAAAAAUAACGCACACAAUGCCAUGCAAAAGAUUUCUGAAAGUCUGUUUCUUCUUGGGAGAACUCCACGCCCAAUCAGUGUUGAACAGUAUGAACAAGAAGAUGAUGAAGAUGGUUUGGUUGAGAAAAGUGUUGAGCGUCAAACUGGUUAUCAAAAGGAGCGGGAAGUCCCACCCCAUUUUGCAACCCCAGGGACGUUUGAGUCUGAGUGGGCCCAGCGAUGGAAGGCAUUGGGAGAAUUAGAGACACAGCAGAGGGAAGCUCUUGAUAAGCAGUUCAAGGAGCAACGAGAGGCUUUAGAGGCAGAGAUGCAGACUGCCAUUCAAGAGCAUGAGGCAAUGCUUAUGAGACAAGAAAUCCAGCGACGUCAAGAGGAGCUGCAGCGGUUCGAGGAGAUGCAGCACCGUGAGGAGAUGAUGAGGCAAGAGAUGCUUCAACAGCAGGAAAUGGAGAUGAGGCGCAGAGAUGAGGAGAUGCGAAUGGAGGAGAUGCGGCGCCGUGAGGAAGCCAGGCACCACGAGGAGAUGAUGUUUAGAAAGAAGCAGGAAGAAAUGCGUAGACGAGACGAGAUGAUGCUAAGACCUCCCCUGGAUUCAAUGAGAGACAUGGGACCAGGAUUCCCACCUCGCGGAAUGCCACCUAAGGAGGAUUGGGGCCCAGGCCCACGUGGUAUGGGUCCAGGAAUGGGCCCCCCUCGUCCGAUGGGCCCACCUGGUCCUCAUGGUCCUCCCUUUGGUCCCCGUGGUCCACCCCCACAUGGAGGACCUCCACGUGGCCCCAUGGGACCUGGCCCUGGAAUGCCGCCAAUGAAUUGGUUGACUUUGCUGCCUGGUUAGAUGGUUAAGUUGGCAGUAUUCUUUUGAGCCUGCUUAGCAGCUUUUUUUAUUCAACAAAUAAUACCUAAUUAUCAAAAAGUGGGUAAGUCAACUGAUCUAAUCCACUGGAAUAGUGAUUCAAUUGAAUAGUCUUUUAAUUAAUCACCUUAAAAAUACUAUUGAUUGCAGUUGAAAUGUAGUGAUCCAUUCAAUGUUUGGCUUUAAAUUAAUGUCUCCUGCUACCCCAGUCCAAGAAAGACUAUAAACCUUACCAAUGCCAAUUAACUCUUGCAUUGAAGCUUGCAGAUAUUGCCUAUUGUUCACGAUUUAAAACUCGGAUGGAAAUUUAGUUGAAUAAUGUGAAAAUUAGAUUAUAUAGACUUGGAAAAUAUUUUUUUUGAAUAAGUUGAAAUUCUCUUUGUCAGAAAUUUAGUGAAGAUACAAACAACACUGUUUUUUUUUUAUUUAUUUUAUAAUUUGUUUUUUUAAAAGCGAACCUCAUAAAGAACAUUAUCUGGGAUUUAAAUUUUUUGACAAAGCAUAAUACUAAGUUCACUUUCAAGUUUAGUGAAGUUUCUGCUGUGAAUUUUUCAGUAGUGUAUUUUGAUUAGAUUCGGCACCAUAUCUGUCAAGCUUAAAAACUGCUUUAAACUUCGCAUUCUGAGCAAUGCACACCAAAGAAUGUCACAGAACUACUCAGAAGACUUUCCAGAUGCCCAUCCGGUGCAGUAAGUACAAAGAUAGCUGUAAUAGUCAACAACCUGUGUAUAAUACUUCAUCUGAAGAUAUAGCGGUAUUCACUGAAACAAUGUGGAAACAAAUAUAACAAUAUAUGCUUGAUAUCCUUGUCACUCUUUCUAGUACAAGGUUACAGUAGUCUACAAUGCCAGUGAUGUAUGAUGGGACAUAUUGGUUUUAUUUGCAGUCAACUCUCAAAGUAGCUAAAACAUACUCACUUUCAAGUAUUGCAUAUCAAGUAUUGCAUAUAUACUCACUUUAAGUAUUGCAUAUCAUCCAAAUGUUAUUACAAUAGAUGCAAAGUCACGUUUGGUAUUGCAUAUCAUCCAAAUGUUAUUACAAUAGAUGCAAAGGCAAGUUUGGUAAAUAAUUUAAAGUGACCUGUAUUGAAACAAUAUUUAUAUCCAUCAAUCAUUGCCUUUAUUUCUUUAUUUCUCCUAGUCACUUUUAAAAGUAAAAUCUGUUUUCUUUUUAGUGAAAAUUUAACACUUUUGCAACUUGUUGUAUUUGAAAUAGAUAAAAUACAAUUUGUUAUACAUUAGAACCCUUUUUAAAUUGAACACAGCAAACUUUAACUCCCUGUUAAAGCAAUUCGAAAAUAAUGCUUAAUUAAUAUACACAAAGUCUGACUAACAAAAUGGGAUGUAUAAAUCAGCCUUUAUCUUAUUUUUAGGUAAUGCCAUUUGAAUUGUGAACAUCAUAAAUAACUUUUUUGACAUUAAUCAUGCCAAUUUGCCUGGAAAUCCUGUUGAUAUUGCUACCAUUUUAAUUUGCCAAUGAGGGUAAAAAGAGUUAAAAUCUUGUUUUUUCUAGUUCGCUGAUCUAUUUGACAGGAUACUAUCAUAUAUUAUUCUAUGUCAGCAAUUAAAUUAUUUUCAUGAGAGUUGACUGCUUUAUGCCCAUCAUACACUGGCUGGUGACCAACAUAGAGACCCAUAGAAUGAUAGCAAAUAAAGUGUACUCGAUACAAUAUAGAAAUUCUUGACACAGAAGAGAAUUCUUCAAAUAAUCACUACUUCAUCAUGAGGAAAUUCUUAAUUCAAACAGCAGGCGAUAUUUUGUCAGUAUCCUGAUUUACACCUUCAUGGAUAAGGAUUAAAGUAGCUAUACAAUGAGUUGACUACUAUUUAAUUUAUGGAAUGCUUCAUUUAUUGUGUCUAGUUGAUAUAUUAUUGGGAUCUUUGAUACAUGCUCUAACGUAUGUCUUUUUUUGACUGGCAUAUGUUUUUGUUUCUUUUCAGCAGGUUUUCUGUAUAAGAUGACACUGGGAUUGAGGGUUAUUAAUUUGAGCAAGUUGGCAAUUGACGCUACAGAAGUGUACAGGCCAUAUAGCCAGUCAAAAAGUGAACAAGUUGGCAACAAUUGACGCUACAGAAGUGUACAGGCCAUAUAGCCAGUCAAAAAGUGAACAAGUUGGCAACAAUUGACGCUUCAGAAGUGUACAGGCCAUAUAGCCAGUCAAAAAGACCUUGGUAUUAACGGAGAGCGGGAGUAGACAGCUCACUCAAUGCCACGGGGAAAACCAAGCGCCACCUUAAACAACUCAACAGACAUGUUAGUGCCGUGGUUCAGCGACGAAGCAAUGUUGAAAGAAGCAUUUAAAUAAAACGCUAAGGAGCCCUGAAUGCCUGGAAUAAAUGAUAUUUUUUUCCAAAA
Nematostella vectensis (starlet sea anemone) is the source of this 3885-nucleotide RNA transcript. It is a transcript of the gene named paraspeckle component 1, with no coding region annotated. The transcript is spliced from 13 exons. The record is from RefSeq and is a predicted model, not a curated record. NCBI's taxonomy places the organism in Eukaryota, Metazoa, Cnidaria, Anthozoa, Actiniaria, Edwardsiidae.